Molecule: ribosomal RNA, 588 nt
Filed under: Aureobasidium pullulans
Lineage: Eukaryota; Fungi; Ascomycota; Dothideomycetes; Dothideales; Saccotheciaceae
Description: eukaryotic LSU rRNA
Rfam family: Eukaryotic large subunit ribosomal RNA
Source: RNAcentral
CAGUGCUUGCCCUAGUAACGGCGAGUGAAGCGGCAACAGCUCAAAUUUGAAAGCUGGCCUUCGGGUCCGCAUUGUAAUUUGUAGAGGAUGCUUUGGGUGAAACGCCAGUCUAAGUUCCUUGGAACAGGACGUCAUAGAGGGUGAGAAUCCCGUAUGUGACUGGAAAUGUUAACCUAUGUAAAGCUCCUUCGACGAGUCGAGUUGUUUGGGAAUGCAGCUCUAAAUGGGAGGUAAAUUUCUUCUAAAGCUAAAUAUUGGCGAGAGACCGAUAGCGCACAAGUAGAGUGAUCGAAAGAUGAAAAGCACUUUGGAAAGAGAGUUAAAAAGCACGUGAAAUUGUUGAAAGGGAAGCGCUUGCAAUCAGACUUGUUUAAACUGUUCGGCCGGUCUUCUGACCGGUUUACUCAGUUUGGACAGGCCAGCAUCAGUUUCGGCGGCCGGAUAAAGGCUCUGGGAAUGUGGCCUUCACUUCGGUGAAGGUGUUAUAGCCCAGGGUGUAAUACGGCCAGCCGGGACUGAGGUCCGCGCUUCGGCUAGGAUGCUGGCGUAAUGGUUGUAAGCGACCCGUCUUGAGAACCCGGACCCAAA